GACGAGCGCUGGCGGCGUGCCUAAUACAUGCAAGUCGAACGCUGAAGGAGGAGCUUGCUUCUCUGGAUGAGUUGCGAACGGGUGAGUAACGCGUAGGUAACCUGCCUGGUAGCGGGGGAUAACUAUUGGAAACGAUAGCUAAUACCGCAUAACAGUAGAUAUCGCAUGAUAUCUACUUGAAAGGUGCAAUUGCAUCACUACCAGAUGGACCUGCGUUGUAUUAGCUAGUUGGUGAGGUAACGGCUCACCAAGGCGACGAUACAUAGCCGACCUGAGAGGGUGAUCGGCCACACUGGGACUGAGACACGGCCCAGACUCCUACGGGAGGCAGCAGUAGGGAAUCUUCGGCAAUGGACGGAAGUCUGACCGAGCAGCGCCGCGUGAGUGAAGAAGGUUUUCGGAUCGUAAAGCUCUGUUGUAAGAGAAGAACGAGUGUGAGAGUGGAAAGUUCACACUGUGACGGUAUCUGACCAGAAAGGGACGGCUAACUACGUG
RNAcentral lists this ribosomal RNA (495 nucleotides) under uncultured bacterium. RNAcentral's name for it is "partial 16S ribosomal RNA". It matches the Rfam family "Bacterial small subunit ribosomal RNA", at positions 28 to 507 of the family's 1533-position model. The record is from RNAcentral.